AGUGAACGCUGGCGGUAGGCCUAACACAUGCAAGUCGAACGGCAGCACAGUAAGAGCUUGCUCUUACGGGUGGCGAGUGGCGGACGGGUGAGGAAUACAUCGGAAUCUACUUUUUCGUGGGGGAUAACGUAGGGAAACUUACGCUAAUACCGCAUACGACCUACGGGUGAAAGCAGGGGAUCUUCGGACCUUGCGCGAUUGAAUGAGCCGAUGUCGGAUUAGCUAGUUGGCGGGGUAAAGGCCCACCAAGGCGACGAUCCGUAGCUGGUCUGAGAGGAUGAGCGGACACACGGGAACGGAGCCACGGUCAGGACGACUACGGGAGGCAGCAGUAGGGAAUGGGCGGAAAUGGGCGAAAGUAUGACGGAGCAACGCCGAGUGAGAGAAGACGGGCUUGGGAUCGUAAAACUCUGUUAUCAGGGAAGAAAAUAUGGGCAAGUAACUGUGCAGAUCUUGACGGUACCGAAUCAGAAAGCCACGGCUAAAUACGCG
This 492-nucleotide ribosomal RNA is filed under the name uncultured bacterium. RNAcentral's name for it is "partial 16S ribosomal RNA". It matches the Rfam family "Bacterial small subunit ribosomal RNA", at positions 29 to 507 of the family's 1533-position model. The record is from RNAcentral.